ACAUGCAAGUCGAACGGUAACAGGAAGAAGCUUGCUUCUUUGCUGACGAGUGGCGGACGGGUGAGUAAUGUCUGGGAAACUGCCUGAUGGAGGGGGAUAACUACUGGAAACGGUAGCUAAUACCGCAUAACGUCGCAAGACCAAAGAGGGGGACCUUCGGGCCUCUUGCCAUCGGAUGUGCCCAGAUGGGAUUAGCUAGUAGGUGGGGUAAAGGCUCACCUAGGCGACGAUCCCUAGCUGGUCUGAGAGGAUGACCAGCCACACUGGAACUGAGACACGGUCCAGACUCCUACGGGAGGCAGCAGUGGGGAAUAUUGCACAAUGGGCGCAAGCCUGAUGCAGCCAUGCCGCGUGUAUGAAGAAGGCCUUCGGGUUGUAAAGUACUUUCAGCGGGGAGGAAGGGAGUAAAGUUAAUACCUUUGCUCAUUGACGUUACCCGCAGAAGAAGCACCGGCUAACUCCGUGCCAGCAGCCGCGGUAAUACGGAGGGUGCAAGCGUUAAUCGGAAUUACUGGGCGUAAAGCGCACGCAGGCGGUUUGUUAAGUCAGAUGUGAAAUCCCCGGGCUCAACCUGGGAACUGCAUCUGAUACUGGCAAGCUUGAGUCUCGUAGAGGGGGGUAGAAUUCCAGGUGUAGCGGUGAAAUGCGUAGAGAUCUGGAGGAAUACCGGUGGCGAAGGCGGCCCCCUGGACGAAGACUGACGCUCAGGUGC
RNAcentral lists this ribosomal RNA (712 nucleotides) under Escherichia coli. Its description in RNAcentral is "bacterial SSU rRNA". It matches the Rfam family "Bacterial small subunit ribosomal RNA", at positions 53 to 754 of the family's 1533-position model. The record is from RNAcentral. Lineage: Bacteria; Pseudomonadati; Pseudomonadota; Gammaproteobacteria; Enterobacterales; Enterobacteriaceae.